Molecule: ribosomal RNA, 587 nt
Filed under: Distoseptispora sp. RX-2021b
Lineage: Eukaryota; Fungi; Ascomycota; Sordariomycetes; Distoseptisporaceae
Description: partial large subunit ribosomal RNA
Rfam family: Eukaryotic large subunit ribosomal RNA
Source: RNAcentral
AAAAUGGGAGGUAAAUUUCUUCUAAAGCUAAAUACCGGCCAGAGACCGAUAGCGCACAAGUAGAGUGAUCGAAAGAUGAAAAGCACUUUGAAAAGAGGGUUAAAUAGCACGUGAAAUUGCUGAAAGGGAAGCGCUUGUGACCAGACUUGUGCCCGGUUGAUCAUCCAGCGUUCUCGCUGGUGCACUCUGCCGGGCUCAGGCCAGCAUCGGCUCUCCCAGGGGGAUAAAGGUCGCGGGAACGUAGCUCUCUCCGGGGAGUGUUAUAGCCCGCGGCGGAAUACCCUUAGGGGGGGUCGAGGCCCGCGUUCGCAAGGAUGCUGGCGUAAUGGUCACCAGCGACCCGUCUUGAAACACGGACCAAGGAGUCAAGCAUUAGGGCGAGUCUUUGGGUGUAAAACCCGCAGGCGCAAUGAAAGUGAACGGAGGUGAGAGCUUCGGCGCAUCAUCGACCGAUCCUGAUGUUCUCGGAUGGAUUUGAGUAAGAGCCUUACCGCUUGGACCCGAAAGAUGGUGAACUAUGCCUGAAUAGGGUGAAGCCAGAGGAAACUCUGGUGGAGGCUCGCAGCGGUUCUGACGUGCAAAUCGAU